Molecule: ribosomal RNA, 407 nt
Filed under: uncultured bacterium
Lineage: Bacteria
Description: partial 16S ribosomal RNA
Rfam family: Bacterial small subunit ribosomal RNA
Source: RNAcentral
AUUGAACGCUGGCGGCAGGCCUAACACAUGCAAGUCGAACGGAGUGGCGGACGGGUGAGUAAUGUCUGGGAAACUGCCUGAUGGAGGGGGAUAACGUCCGGAAACGGGCGCUAAUACCGCAUACUAUCAGAUGAGCCUAGGGCGGAUUAGCGAGUUGGUGGGGGAAAGGCCUACCAAGGCGACGAUCCGUAACUGGUCUGAGAGGAUGAUCAGUCACACUGGAACUGAGACACGGUCCAGACUCCUACGGGAGGCAGCAGUGGGGACUAGUGGACAAUGGGCGACAGCCGGAUCCAGCCAUGCCGCGUGUGUGAAGAAGGUCUUCGGAUUGUACAGCACUUUAAGUUGGGAGGCGUGACCAACAGAAUAAGCACCGGCUAACUUCGUGCCAGCCGCCGCGGUAAUUC